GACGAACGCUGGCGGCGUGCUUAACACAUGCAAGUCGAACGAAGUGGCGAACGGGUGAGUAACGCGUAAUCAACCUGCCCUUCAGAGGGGGACAACAGUUGGAAACGACUGAUAAUACCGCAUACUGAAGGAGGGGAUUGAGUCUGAUUAGCUCGUUGGAGGGGUAACGGCCCACCAAGGCGAUGAUCAGUAUCUGGUCUUGGAGGAUGACCGGCCACAUUGGGACGUAGACACGGCCCAGACUCAUACGGGAGGCAGCAGGGGGGAAUCUUCCGCAAUGGACGAAAGUCGGACGGAGCAAAGCCGCGUGAGUGAUGACGGCUUUCGGGUUGUAAAGCUCUGUUAAUCGGGACGCGGUACCGGAAUAGAAAGCCACGGCUAACUACGUGCCAGUAGCCGCGGUAAUAC
This 408-nucleotide ribosomal RNA is filed under the name uncultured bacterium. Its description in RNAcentral is "partial 16S ribosomal RNA". It matches the Rfam family "Bacterial small subunit ribosomal RNA", at positions 28 to 526 of the family's 1533-position model. The record is from RNAcentral.